This 70-nucleotide transfer RNA is filed under the name Miopithecus ogouensis (Gabon talapoin). RNAcentral's name for it is "partial tRNA-Phe". The record is from RNAcentral. Lineage: Eukaryota; Metazoa; Chordata; Mammalia; Primates; Cercopithecidae.
CCCAUGUAGCUUAAACCCACCCAAAGCAAGGUACNGAAAAUACCUAGAUGGAUCACGCACCCCAUGGACA